Molecule: ribosomal RNA, 274 nt
Filed under: uncultured bacterium
Lineage: Bacteria
Description: partial 16S ribosomal RNA
Rfam family: Bacterial small subunit ribosomal RNA
Source: RNAcentral
AUACGGAGGGUGCAAGCGUUAAUCGGAAUUACUGGGCGUAAAGCGUACGUAGGCGGUUCGUUAAGUUAGAUGUGAAAGCCCCGGGCUUAGCCUGGGAACUGCAUUUAAAACUGGCGAACUAGAGUUGAGUAGAGGGGAGUGGAAUUUCAGGUGUAGCGGUGAAAUGCGUAGAGAUCUGAAGGAACACCAGUGGCGAAGGCGGCUCCCUGGACUCAAACUGACGCUGAGGUACGAAAGCGUGGGUAGCAAACGGGAUUAGAAACCCUAGUAGUCC